Molecule: non-coding RNA, 63 nt
Filed under: Streptomyces antibioticus
Lineage: Bacteria; Bacillati; Actinomycetota; Actinomycetes; Kitasatosporales; Streptomycetaceae
Also listed under: 3 other names
Source: RNAcentral
AGGCGAAACCGGGGAGACCCGGUCGGCCGGGAGGGGUUCCCGGUCCUGACGAUGCCACCCACU